AUCUCUUCUUGGCCUUUUAGCUAAGAUCAAAUGUGGUAUCUGUUCUUAACAGGUUAAAAUCUGAUAUGUCCUCUAUUCAAGGUCAAUAUAUUCAAUGUAUUUUUGAGCAGGGAGAUGGAAUAGAAGCUUGCACAAUCCAUUCCAUACGUCCUCUAUUCAAGGUCAAUAUAUUCAAUGUAUUUUUG
Chlorocebus sabaeus (green monkey) is the source of this 185-nucleotide small nuclear RNA. It matches the Rfam family "U2 spliceosomal RNA". From Rfam's summary of the family: U2 is a small nuclear RNA (snRNA) component of the spliceosome (involved in pre-mRNA splicing). Complementary binding between U2 snRNA (in an area lying towards the 5' end but 3' to hairpin I) and the branchpoint sequence (BPS) of the intron results the bulging out of an unpaired adenosine, on the BPS, which initiates a nucleophilic attack at the intronic 5' splice site, thus starting the first of two transesterification reactions that mediate splicing. Lineage: Eukaryota; Metazoa; Chordata; Mammalia; Primates; Cercopithecidae. The record is from Rfam.